RNAcentral lists this transfer RNA (70 nucleotides) under Loxodonta africana (African savanna elephant). It matches the Rfam family "tRNA". Rfam says of the family: Transfer RNA (tRNA) molecules are approximately 80 nucleotides in length. Their secondary structure includes four short double-helical elements and three loops (D, anti-codon, and T loops). The record is from Rfam by way of RNAcentral. Lineage: Eukaryota; Metazoa; Chordata; Mammalia; Proboscidea; Elephantidae.
AUCCUGGUGGCGUAGUGGUUAAGUGCUAUGGCUCCUAACCAUGAGGUUGGCAGUUCGAAUCUGCCGGAUA